AAUAAGUGUAGCCAUAAGUUUUCGCGUCCAACUUUUAUCGUCUAUUUUAUUUGAAAUUUUUUUAUAAUUAACAUUUUUUGUUGCUAUGAGAUGAUAAAUCAUGAAUAGUACUUUUCUCGUGACUUAUGUUUUUAAUUUUUUUUGAAAAAAAUUCAAAUAAGACGAACGGUCAAAGUUGGGCGCGGAAAAUCAUGGCUACACUUAUU
Non-coding RNA from Oryza nivara, 206 nucleotides. The record is from Rfam. Lineage: Eukaryota; Viridiplantae; Streptophyta; Magnoliopsida; Poales; Poaceae.